UUCAGCUGACAAAAAAAUGGGGAUUCCCUGCGUUGCAUGUAAAUAUGAAAAGUUUUCAGUGAUCAGCUCAUGACUAGUGGCUAGUCUGUGUGUGCAGUUCCACAAACUUGGAUGACCUUCUGAACCUAUAAAAACAUGAUGGAAAACAAACACAUCAGCACUUGGCAUUAUGAACCUUCGAAUUGCCCUCUCUCUCUCUUCCCCACACUCUCUCCUUCCCUUUCAUCCUGAUUCCAGCUGCACACCCAUCUCGCUCUUUCUGGGGUCCCCUGGCUACAGUACCCAUAAUUCACCAUAAGACACAACACCCACACCAAGCCCUCGCUAACCUUUAUAGCACGGCCAAGGCACAGCGAGGGGAGGAGAGGGGCAGGGGACUGGUGAUGGGGCAAAUACUUUCUCUGUGUCUCUUCGGGCCCCUGACCAAGAGCAAGGCCAAGAGGCCCCCUCCAAGAGGGUGAGAGAGAUCGAAAGAUCUCUCAACAGAGAGAAGAGAGAACAACAGAGAGAAGAUCUCACAGACUGAUAAAGCCAGCCAUGGUCAUUAAAGGAACUGGGAAAGAUAUGGAUCAAUGAGUAAAGAAGAGAGUGUUAGGAAGAGAUGCAAGAAGUGAGCUGCUAACUGA
This is a long non-coding RNA of Megalobrama amblycephala (Wuchang bream), 626 nucleotides long. RefSeq lists it as uncharacterized. Lineage: Eukaryota; Metazoa; Chordata; Actinopteri; Cypriniformes; Xenocyprididae. The record is from RefSeq and is a predicted model, not a curated record. The transcript has 3 exons.